Molecule: ribosomal RNA, 253 nt
Filed under: uncultured bacterium
Lineage: Bacteria
Description: partial 16S ribosomal RNA
Rfam family: Bacterial small subunit ribosomal RNA
Source: RNAcentral
GAUAGAGGAUGCAAGCGUUAUCCGGAAUGAUUGGGCGUAAAGCGUCUGUAGGUGGCUUUUCAAGUCUGCCGUCAAAUCCCAGGGCUCAACCCUGGACAGGCGGUGGAAACUACUAAGCUGGAGUACGGUAGGGGCAGAGGGAAUUUCCGGUGGAGCAGUGAAAUGCGUAGAGAUCGGAAAGAACACCAAUGGCGAAAGCACUCUGCUGGGCCGACACUGACACUGAGAGACGAAAGCUAGGGGAGCAAAUGGG